Molecule: ribosomal RNA, 784 nt
Filed under: human gut metagenome
Description: bacterial SSU rRNA
Rfam family: Bacterial small subunit ribosomal RNA
Source: RNAcentral
CUGCCCUAUGGGUUGUAAACCUCUUUUAUAAGGGAAGAAUAAGUUCUACGUGUAGAAUGAUGCCUGUACCUUAUGAAUAAGCAUCGGCUAACUCCGUGCCAGCAGCCGCGGUAAUACGGAGGAUGCGAGCGUUAUCCGGAUUUAUUGGGUUUAAAGGGUGCGUAGGCGGUUUAUUAAGUUAGUGGUUAAAUAUUUGAGCUAAACUCAAUUGUGCCAUUAAUACUGGUAAACUGGAGUACAGACGAGGUAGGCGGAAUAAGUUAAGUAGCGGUGAAAUGCAUAGAUAUAACUUAGAACUCCGAUAGCGAAGGCAGCUUACCAGACUGUAACUGACGCUGAUGCACGAGAGCGUGGGUAGCGAACAGGAUUAGAUACCCUGGUAGUCCACGCCGUAAACGAUGCUCACUGGUUCUGUGCGAUAUAUUGUACGGGAUUAAGCGAAAGUAUUAAGUGAGCCACCUGGGGAGUACGUCGGCAACGAUGAAACUCAAAGGAAUUGACGGGGGCCCGCACAAGCGGAGGAACAUGUGGUUUAAUUCGAUGAUACGCGAGGAACCUUACCUGGGUUUAAAUGGGAAAUGCCGUAUUUGGAAACAGAUAUUCUCUUCGGAGCGUUUUUCAAGGUGCUGCAUGGUUGUCGUCAGCUCGUGCCGUGAGGUGUCGGGUUAAGUCCCAUAACGAGCGCAACCCCUACCGUUAGUUGCUAGCAUGUAAUGAUGAGCACUCUAACGGGACUGCCACCGUAAGGUGAGAGGAAGGCGGGGAUGACGUCAAAUCAGCACGG